CCGAAGGUCGGGGUCCCAAGACCCCCCAGCAGAAAAAUGGCCAAAAAACGGGUGGGCUAUAGCCUUGGUGGGGGGAGUGGGCGAAGUUCGUCCGCGGGACUCGCAAUGGCACCAUACUUGGCGGGCGACCUCCGUGUGCCAAAAAUAGGCCACGGGCGCAGCCGCGCCCAAAAAUCAGCCCCCGAAGGUCGGGGUCCCAAGACCCCCCAGCGGAAAAAUGGCCAAAAAACGGUUGGGCUAUAGCCUUGGUGGGGGGCGUGGGCGAAGUUCGUCCGCGGGACUCGAAAUGGCACCAGACUUGGCGGGCGGCCUCCGUGUGCAAAAAAAUAGGCCACGGGCACAGCCGCGCCCAAAAAUCAGCCCCCAAAGGUCGGGGUCCCAAGACCCCCCAGCGGAAAAAUAACCAAAAAACGGGUGGGCUAUAGCCUUGGUGGGCGGCGUGGGCGAAGUUCGGGCGCGGGACUCAGAAUGGCCCCAGACUUGGCGGGCGGCCUCCGUGUGCAAAAAAUAGGCCAUGGGCACAGCCGCGCCCAAAAAUCAGCCCCCGAAGGUCGGGGUCCCAAGACCCCCCAGCGGAAAAUUGGCCAAAAAACGGGUGGGCUAUAGCCUUGGUGGGGGGCGUGGGCGAAGUUCGUCCGCCGGACUCGGAAUGGCACCAUACUUGGCGGGCGGCCUCCGUGUGCCAAAAACAGGCCACGGGCGCAGCCGCACCCAAAAAUCAGCCCCCGAAGGUCGGGGUCCCAAGACCCCCCAGCAGAAAAAUGGCCAAAAAACGGGUGGGCUAUAGCCUUGGUGGGGGGCGUGGGCGAAGUUCGUCCGCGGGACUCGGAAUGGCACAGACUUGGAGGGCGGCCUCCGUGUGCCAAAAAUAGGCCACGGGCACAGCCGCGCCCAAAAUCAGCCACCGAAGGUCGGGGUCCCAAGACCCCCCAGCGGAAAAAUGGCCAAAAAAUGGGUGGGCUAUAGCCUUGGUGGGGGGCGUGGGCGAAGUUUGUCCGCCGGACUCGGAAUGGCCCCAGACUUGGCGGGCGGCCUCCCUGUGCCAAAAAUAGGCCACGGGCACAGCCGCGCCCAAAAAUCAGCCCCCGAAGGUCAGGGUCCCAAGACCCCCCAGCGGAAAAUUGGCCAAAAAACGGGUGGGCUAUAGCCUUGGUUGGGGGCGUGGGCGAAGUUCGUCCGCCGGACUCGGAAUGGCACCAGACUUGGCGGGCGGCCACCGUGUGCCAAAAAUAGGCCACGGGCAUAGCCGCGCCCAAAAAUCAGCCCCCGAAGGUCGGGGUCCAAAGACCCCGCAGCGGAAAAAUGGCCAAAAAACGGGUGGGCUAUAGCCUUGGUGGGGGGCGUGGGCGAACUUCGUCCGCGGGACUCGGAAUGGUACCAUACCUGGCGGGUGGCCUCCGUGUGCCAAAAACAGGCCACGGGCACAGCUCCGCCGAAAAAUCAGCCCCCGAAGGUUGGGGUCCCAAGACCCCCCGGCGUAAAAAUGGCCAAAAAAACGGUGGGCUAUAGCCUUGGUGGGGGGCGUGGGCGAAGUUCGUCCGCGGGACUCGGAAUGGCCCCAGACUUGGCGAGCGGCCUCCGUGUGCCAAAAAUAGGCCACGGGCACAACCGCGCCCAAAAAUCAGCCCCCGAAGGUCGGGGUCCCAAGACCCCCCAGCGGAAAAAUUGCCAAAAAACGGGUGGGCUAUAGCCUUGGUGGGGGGCGUGGGCGAACUUCGUCCGCGGGACUCGGAAUGGUACCAUACCUGGCGGGUGGCCUCCGUGUGCCAAAAACAGGCCACGGGCACAGCUCCGCCGAAAAAUCAGCCCCCGAAGGUUGGGGUCCCAAGACCCCCCGGCGUAAAAAUGGCCAAAAAAACGGUGGGCUAUAGCCUUGGUGGGGGGCGUGGACGAAGUUCGUCCGCGGGACUCGGAAUGGCCCCAGACUUGGCGGGCGGCCUCCGUGUGCCAAAAAUAGGCCACGGGCACAGCCGCGCCCAAAAAUCAGCCCCCGAAGGUCGGGGUCCCAAGACCCCCCAGCGGAAAAAUGGCCAAAAAACGGGUGGGCUAUAGCCUUGGUGGGGGGAGUGGGCGAAGUUCGUCCGCGGGACUCGCAAUGGCACCAUACUUGGCGGGCGACCUCCGUGUGCCAAAAAUAGGCCACGGGCGCAGCCGCGCCCAAAAAUCAGCCGCCGAAGGUCGGGGUCCCAAGACCCCCCAGCGGAAAAAUGGCCAAAAACCGGGUGGGCUAUAGCCUUGGUGGGAGGCGUGGGCGAAGUUCAUCCGUGGUACUCGGAAUGGCACCAGACUUGGCGGGCGGCCUCCGUGUGCCAAAAAUAGGCCACGGGCACGGCCGCGCCCAAAAAUCAGCCCCCGAAGGUCGGGGUCCCAAGACCCCCCAGCGGAAAAAUAUCCAAAAAACGGGUGGGCUAUAGCCUUGGUGGGCGGCGUGGGCGAAGUUCGUCCGCGGGACUCAGAAUGGCCCCAGACUUGGCGGGCGGCCCCCGUGUGCCAAAAAUAGGCCACGGGCACAGCCGCGCCCAAAAAUCAGCCCCCGAAGGUCGGGGUCCCAAGACCCCCCAGCGGAAAAAUGGCCAAAAAAAGGGUGGGCUAUAGCCUUGGUGGGGGGCGUGGGCGAAGUUCGUCCGCGGGACUCGGAAUGGCACCAUACUUGGCGGGCGGCCUCCGUGUGCCAAAAACAGGCCACGGGCGCAGCCGCGUCCAAAAAUCAGCCCCCGAAGGUCGGGGUCCCAAGACCCCCCAGCGGAAAAAUGGCCAAAAAACGGGUGGGCUAUAGCCUUGGUGGGGGGCGUGGGCGAACUUCGUCCGCGGGACUCGGAAUGGUACCAUACCUGGCGGGUGGCCUCCGUGUGCCAAAAACAGGCCACGGGCACAGCUCCGCCGAAAAAUCAGCCCCCGAAGGUUGGGGUCCCAAGACCCCCCGGCGUAAAAAUGGCCAAAAAAACGGUGGGCUAUAGCCUUGGUGGGGGGCGUGGACGAAGUUCGUCCGCGGGACUCGGAAUGGCCCCAGACUUGGCGGGCGGCCUCCGUGUGCCAAAAAUAGGCCACGGGCACAGCCGCGCCCAAAAAUCAGCCCCCGAAGGUCGGGGUCCCAAGACCCCCCAGCGGAAAAAUGGCCAAAAAACGGGUGGGCUAUAGCCUUGGUGGGGGGAGUGGGCGAAGUUCGUCCGCGGGACUCGCAAUGGCACCAUACUUGGCGGGCGACCUCCGUGUGCCAAAAAUAGGCCACGGGCGCCGCCGCGCCCAAAAAUCAGCCGCCGAAGGUCGGGGUCCCAAGACCCCCCAGCGGAAAAAUGGCCAAAAACCGGGUGGGCUAUAGCCUUGGUGGGAGGCGUGGGCGAAGUUCGUCCGUGGUACUCGGAAUGGCACCAGACUUGGCGGGCGGCCUCCGUGUGCCAAAAAUAGGCCACGGGCACGGCCGCGCCCAAAAAUCAGCCCCCGAAGGUCGGGGUCCCAAGACCCCCCAGCGGAAAAAUAUCCAAAAAACGGGUGGGCUAUAGCCUUGGUGGGCGGCGUGGGCGAAGUUCGUCCGCGGGACUCAGAAUGGCCCCAGACUUGGCGGGCGGCCCCCGUGUGCCAAAAAUAGGCCACGGGCACAGCCGCGCCCAAAAAUCAGCCCCCGAAGGUCGGGGUCCCAAGACCCCCCAGCGGAAAAAUGGCCAAAAAAAGGGUGGGCUAUAGCCUUGGUGGGGGGCGUGGGCGAAGUUCGUCCGCGGGACUCGGAAUGGCACCAUACUUGGCGGGCGGCCUCCGUGUGCCAAAAACAGGCCACGGGCGCAGCCGCGCCCAAAAAUCAGCCCCCGAAGGUCGGGGUCCCAAGACCCCCCAGCGGAAAAAUGGCCAAAAAACGGGUGGGCUAUAGCCUUGGUGGGGGGCGUGGGCGAAGUUCGUCCGCCGGACUCGGAAUGGCACCAUACUUGGCGGGCGGCCUCCGUGUGCCAAAAAUAGGCCACGGGUGCAGCCGCGCCCAAAAAUCAGCCCCCGAAGGUCGGGGUCCCAAGAGCCCCCGAAGGUCGGGGUCCCAGGAGCCCCCAGCGGAAAAUUGGCCAAAAAACGGGUGGGCUAUAGCCUUGGUGGGGGGCGUGGGCGAAGUUCGUCCGCGGGACUCAGAAUGGCCCCAGACUUGGCGGGCGGCCCCCGUGUGCCAAAAAUAGGCCACGGGCACAGCCGCGCCCAAAAAUCAGCCCCCGAAGGUCGGGGUCCCAAGACCCCCCAGCGGAAAAAUGGCCAAAAAACGUGUGGGCUAUAGCCUUGGUGGGGGUCGUGGGCGAAGUUCGUCCGCGGGACUCGGAAUGGCCCCAGACUUGGCGGGCGGCCUCCCUGUCCUAAAAAUAGGCCACGGGCACAGCCGCGCCCAAAAAUCAGCCCCCGAAGGUCGGGGUCCCAAGACCCCCCAGCGGAAAAAUAACCAAAAAACGGGUGGGCUAUAGCCUUGGUGGGCGGCGUGGGCGAAGUUCGGGCGCGGGACUCAGAAUGGCCCCAGACUUGGCGGGCGGCCUCCGUGUGCAAAAAAUAGGCCACGGGCACAGCCGCGCCCAAAAAUCAGCCCCCGAAGGUCGGGGUCCCAAGACCCCCCAGCGGAAAAUUGGCCAAAAAACGGGUGGGCUAUAGCCUUGGUGGGGGGCGUGGGCGAAGUUCGUCCGCCGGACUCGGAAUGGCACCAUACUUGGCGGGCGGCCUCCGUGUGCCAAAAACAGGCCACGGGCGCAGCCGCACCCAAAAAUCAGCCCCCGAAGGUCGGGGUCCCAAGACCCCCCAGCAGAAAAAUGGCCAAAAAACGGGUGGGCUAUAGCCUUGGUGGGGGGAGUGGGCGAAGUUCGUCCGCGGGACUCGCAAUGGCACCAUACUGGGCGGACGACUUCCGUGUGCCAAAAUAGGCCACGGGCGCAGCCGCGCCCAAAAAUCAGCCCCCGAAGGUCGAGGUCCCAAGACCCCCCAGCGGAAAAAUGGCCAAAAAACGGGUGGGCUAUAGCCUUGGUGGGGGGCGUGGGCGAAGUUCGUCCGCGGGACUCGAAAUGGCACCAGACUUGGCGGGCGGCCUCCGUGUGCCAAAAAUAGGCCACGGGCACAGCCGCGCCCAAAAAUCAGCCCCCGAAGGUCGGGGUCCCAAGACCCCCCAGCGGAAAAAUAACCAAAAACCGGGUGGGCUAUAGCCUUGGUGGGCGGCGUGGGCGAAGUUCAGGCGCGGGACUCAGAAUGGCCCCAGACUUGGCGGGCGGCCUCCGUGUGCAAAAAAUAGGCCACGGGCACAGCCGCGCCCAGAAAUCAGCCCCCGAAGGUCGGGGUCCCAAGACCCCCCAGCAGAAAAAUGGCCAAAAAACGGGUGGGCUAUAGCCUUGGUGGGGGGAGUGGGCGAAGUUCGUCCGCGGGACUCGCAAUGGCACCAUACUUGGCGGACGACCUCCGUGUGCCAAAAAUAGGCCACGGGCGCAGCCGCGCCCAAAAAUCAGCCCCCGAAGGUCGGGGUCCCAAGACCCCCCAGCGGAAAAAUGGCCAAAAAACGGGUGGGCUAUAGCCUUGGUGGGGGGCGUGGGCGAAGUUCGUCCGCGGGACUCAGAAUGGCCCCAGACUUGGCGGGCGGCCUCCGUGUGCAAAAAAUAGGCCACGGGCACAGCCGCGCCCAAAAAUCAGCCCCCGAAGGUCGGGGUCCCAAGACCCCCCAGCGGAAAAUUGGCCAAAAAACGGAAGGGGUAUAGCCUUGGUGGGGGGCGGGGCGAAGUUCGUCCGCCGGACU
This 5734-nucleotide long non-coding RNA is filed under the name Citrus x clementina. RNAcentral's name for it is "Citrus clementina (C. clementina) long non-coding RNA (CCLE_LNC001207)". The record is from RNAcentral. Lineage: Eukaryota; Viridiplantae; Streptophyta; Magnoliopsida; Sapindales; Rutaceae.